This 1628-nucleotide long non-coding RNA is filed under the name Homo sapiens (human). RNAcentral's name for it is "HSALNT0374259". The record is from RNAcentral. Lineage: Eukaryota; Metazoa; Chordata; Mammalia; Primates; Hominidae.
GAGAAUGCGCGGGUCGAGUGCUGUAGUUCGAUUUUUGCGUGUGUGCGUUGCUUGCGGCCUUUGUGCCUUUUUAUUCUUUGCUUACCUUUAUGAUAUAAAGACCUUAUUUCUUACAAGGAGGAAAAGACCGCUGACUUCAGAAACAGCGGGAACCCCAGCUCGUCCCCGGUAAUUCAAGAGGAAACGCUUGAGCAAUUACUGAUGUUGUAAACUGGGAUCAGAAGACAUACAUGGUAUCGUAUCCCAGGCAAGGCACAGUGGCUCACACCUGUAAUCCCAGCACUUUGGGAGGCUGAAGAAGGCAGAUCACUUGAGGUCAGGAGUUCGAGACCAGCCUGGCUUACAUGGUGAAACCCAUCUCUACUGAACAUACAAAAAUUAGCUGGACAUGAUGAAGUGGACAACAUCACUUCUUUCCACAUUUCAUUGACCAGAGCAAGUCAUGUGACCAAGCCUGAUUCAAAAUAGGCUGGAGCAAGGAGGAGCAGCAAACAUAACAUUCCCAGUUUACAGCUGAGGAAAUUAAGCUUCAAGUUGCCCAAGUUUAUAGAAUGAGUCAAUGGCAGAGGUUGAACUCAGAUGACAAAAUUGGGGUCUGGACGUGUGCAAGGACUUUUCCAAAGUCAGCUGGAAAGGAGCUGCUUAGCUGAGAGGUUCUGGCUCCAGAGUCUCCUGUGAAGUUGCAGUCAAGAUGUCUGCUGGGACCCCAGUCAUUUGAAGCCCUGUCUGGGGCAGGAGAAUCUAGGUCCAAAAUGGCCGUUGCAGGAGUCCUUAUCCACACCAUGUGGGACCUCUUCAUAGAUGUUCGAGUGUCCUCAUGGCAUGGCCACUGGCUUUCCCCAAACUUCAAACUAUGCAUAUGGGCCAGGCGCGGUAGCUCAUGCCUGUAAUCCCAACACUUUGGAAGGUCAAGGUGGGCAGAUCAUUUGAGGCCAGGAGUUUGAGACCAGCCUGGCCAACAUGGUGAAACUCCGUCUCUACUAAAAAAUACAAAAUAAUUAGCUGGGUGUCGUGGAGCAUACCUGUAAUCCCAGCUGCUCCGGAGGCUGAGGCACGAGAAUCGUCUGAACCCAGGUGAUUCUGCACUCUACUUGGGCUCUGUCUCAAAACAACAACAACAGCAACAACAAAAACUGUGGUAUUUUUAAUGAACUAAAUAUUAAUCUGCUAACACAGCAUAGGUUUUAUGAUUACUGCAAUUCAAAAGUCAUAAUAAAUUUUAAAACAAAUCCUCCUGUACCUGUUGUGGUGCAUGCAGAAACUUUUCCUGUUCAACACACUUAUAUGGCACUAUAUAGGGAUAUACCAAAUAGCUCAGGUACAUAGUGAAUACAACUUUAACACUUAUAUUGAAAUGCUAAUCUUACUUGCCAAUAUUAGUGGCACAUUAGCAUAAUUUAACUUUUAUAAAAUUAUGGAAAACAGUUUAAAAUUAUUCUCCCUAAUAUUAGCAAAUUGCAUUAAUGGCAUGUACCGUGUGCCAGUUUGUUUCCAAAUAAACAAAAUGUACCUUGAUAUGCCACUUCAGAGCCAGCAGAGGGAGCUCAUACUUUUUUAUUGUUUUCAACUUACUGAAGAAAAUUUGCUUUUAAAAGCUACUGUGUUAUAACCAAUGAGAACCAAGAAAA